AGCUUUGUGUAGUGGCAGUAUUGUAGCCAAUGAGGUUUACAAUUAUUAUGAGGGGUGAUUAUUGCUAAUUGAAAACUUUUCCCAAUACUCCACCAUGACAACUUGAAAUAUAGUCAACAUUGGCAUUUUUUUUUUAAAGA
This 140-nucleotide small nuclear RNA is filed under the name Dasypus novemcinctus (nine-banded armadillo). Its description in RNAcentral is "U4 spliceosomal RNA (ENSDNOG00000031273.1)". It matches the Rfam family "U4 spliceosomal RNA". From Rfam's summary of the family: U4 small nuclear RNA (U4 snRNA) is a component of the major U2-dependent spliceosome. The structure of U4 snRNA from yeast and human has been reported. Lineage: Eukaryota; Metazoa; Chordata; Mammalia; Cingulata; Dasypodidae. The record is from RNAcentral.